UGUUGUUCAGUGGUAGAGUGUUUGCCUGGAAUGUAAAAGGCUCUGGGUUUGAUCCCCAGUA
RNAcentral lists this transfer RNA (61 nucleotides) under Heterocephalus glaber (naked mole-rat). It matches the Rfam family "tRNA", at positions 6 to 65 of the family's 71-position model. Rfam says of the family: Transfer RNA (tRNA) molecules are approximately 80 nucleotides in length. Their secondary structure includes four short double-helical elements and three loops (D, anti-codon, and T loops). The record is from Rfam by way of RNAcentral. Lineage: Eukaryota; Metazoa; Chordata; Mammalia; Rodentia; Bathyergidae.